UAGGUCGUAUUAGCUUGUUGGUGAGGUAAUGGCUCACCAAGGCGACGAUCCGUAACUGGUCUGAGAGGAUGAUCAGUCACACUGGAACUGAGACACGGUCCAGACUCCUACGGGAGGCAGCAGUGGGGAAUAUUGGACAAUGGGCGAAAGCCUGAUCCAGCCAUGCCGCGUGUGUGAAGAAGGUCUUCGGAUUGUAAAGCACUUUAAGUUGGGAGGAAGGGCAGUAAGUUAAUACCUUGCUGUUUUGACGUUCCCG
This 256-nucleotide ribosomal RNA is filed under the name Streptococcus pneumoniae. RNAcentral's name for it is "partial 16S ribosomal RNA". It matches the Rfam family "Bacterial small subunit ribosomal RNA", at positions 232 to 480 of the family's 1533-position model. The record is from RNAcentral. Lineage: Bacteria; Bacillati; Bacillota; Bacilli; Lactobacillales; Streptococcaceae.